GAUGUGGCACUCGAUCCCAGGACCCUGGGAUCACGACCUGAGCCAAAGGCAGACGCUUAAUGACUGAGCUACCCAGGCUCCCCUGGGGUUAUUUUUAAGUGAAUAAAUAUUUUAAAUAGUUCUCAGUUUUACUUUCUAAUGAACACAUAUAAACAGCAGUUAAUUUUGAGUCUUCUAUAAUUUUCAAGAGUAUAAAGGGAUCCUAAGACUAAAAAGUUUGAGAACACUGGCCUCAGCCAAUUUCAUGUACCCACUCUAACCUAGGUUUCUUCCUGCAUGCCAGCAGUCAUCUGAUAAGAGUUAUCAGUUGUGUGGACACAACUUUCUCAUAUAUCUGGAAACAGGAGAAACCAGAUUCAGAAAUGCACCUGUCGUUAUAGCUAGCAGAUGAAUACAAAUAAAGCCAAGGGGAAGUUUUGAAAUGCAAACUUUUCCAUCUCAAUUGAAGAUUUUGUUCCAAGAGCUGAUACAUAGCUUGGUCUCUGUCCUACCAUUUGAUGUCAUUCUACUUAUAGUAAUCAAAUAAAAUAUACUUUCCCAGUAGAAUUCCCUUGUAAGUAAUAGUAUAGUAGACAGUUUUACUUGUGUUUUUCCUUUACCUAAUGUGAUAAUCAAUGCUCUCUCUUUGACUAGUUCUCAAUGUUCCUACUGCAGCCCCAGAAGUAACAACCAAAUUCUGACAAUUGUAUUCCUGGGAAAUAAUGCAACACAAAAACAGUCACUGGGUCAAAAUUUUACAGUUUGACUGUAAAGUCAAGCAUGCCUUUCCUAACUCUUGUAUGAACACAUGAUGUAUGUAUUGAUUUUUAGAUGUCUUAUAUUGAAAAUAUUAGCUGUUAUCUCCCAAACCCCUGCUUGUUUUGUUGGAUGACAUGACCACUCAUUGAGUAUGGUGUUGAAAGAUAAGUGCUCUGUUUCAUUUUUUGACAGAAUCAAUUGUUGUUUUAAAGCUUGAUUAUUAUUUUAAUAAAACUGAAACUUAAACAGUGCACCCUGUUACAUAAAAGGAAGUAGUUUACAUUCAUACAGGCAGCAAAUAUGCUUUACAAUAUCACAUUUUCCUCAAAAUGGCUAGGGUUUAGGGAAUCCAAUGUUAAAUGGACUUAUAAUCAUGCGUAUUUGCGCUUUUGUUUAUUUAUGGAAUUAUAUGCAUAUCAGUUAUCAGCUUAAUAAAAUUAUAACCUAAAAACUUGAAAUAUUUUGCAUAGCACUGUAUCAGUCAGGGUCCUAUUUGGAACAUAGAAACCACCUUAGAUAUUUCAAACAGAGGGAACUUCAUGCAAUGAAUUGGUUGCAAGUUUUGAAAAAAUGGAAGAGCCAAGGAAGGAAGAUGAGGAUUCUGUGAAAUCAGUAACUAGAAAGUCACUAAGCUCUCCUGAGGUCAAAGGAGCAGAGGGCUUUCUGGUGUUCUCAGGACCACUCACGUGUUCCUUAAGCUGCUGGUUGAACUGCUGCAAUAGUAAGCCAGGAGCUCAUAAGCUCACUGAGGCUGCAGGAUCCAGGAACUUAGGCCAUUAGGACUUACCUACCCCUGCCACUACCAGAGCCAGGACCAAGACAAGAAUCACUUCCCCCUUCCACCUCCUAUUUGCAUAUGAGUGUCUUCAAUUGGUAGGACUACACAGGAAACCAACAGUGGGUUCUGGAAAAUGACUCUCCAGCUCCCUUAGAUACCAAGCAGAAUAUAGAAGUGCCAGUGUGAGACUGGGCAUCAACAGAGAAGGUAUUUGCUGCUACUAUAACUAGUAUUGAGUUUCCCCUUUUAUUCUUCCUCGUCCUAUGGACCUUCCAUAAGGGGUCCACGAGAUGCUGAGAAACACUACACCAUUCUGAUAAAUGGAGCAUGAAACUGGACUAAGUCAAGAGCUAUGGGAUGCAGAACCUCUCCUCCUCUGGAUGGCAUCAAGUGCAGAGGUUACACCUUGGGCUGCCUCCUUUGUAUUGUUACCAUGAGGAAAAACAGCCUGAAGAUGAAACUGACAGGGACAGAACAACUGGACUGAGAGAAUGCCAGAAGCCUUAUGGAAGCACACUUCGAGGCUGCCUUUUCUCCAAAGUUCUCAAUUAUAGAAAUUUUUUGUACACUUUGGACUAACUGUGCCUUCUACGUGGAAUCCUACUAUGGUCUAAAUGUUUGUGUCCCUGCAAGAUUCAAGUUGAAAUCCUAAAUUCCCAAAGGUGAAGGUACUAGUAGAUGGAGACUUUGGGAGAAGAUGGAGUCAUGAGGGUAAAGCCCUCCUUAAUGGGAUUAGUGCUCUGGUAAAAGAUGCCCCGCAGAACUCCCCAGCCCUUCUGUUUGUGAGGAUGCAAGGAGAGAUCUGCAACUUGGAAGAGAGCUCACCCAACCAUGCUGGCAUUCUGAUUUCACUUUAGAGCCCUCAGAACUGAGAGUACGUUCCAAGCAUGAAAGAAAUAGAAGAAAUUACAGAGGAAAAAGCCAAUAUUUGAUGCCCUCAAAAUGGCAAGCUUCUGUACAACAAAAAGACCUUAAAUUAAAUGGGGAAUGAAAAAC
This is a long non-coding RNA of Zalophus californianus (California sea lion), 2512 nucleotides long. RefSeq lists it as uncharacterized. The record is from RefSeq and is a predicted model, not a curated record. The transcript is spliced from 4 exons. Lineage: Eukaryota; Metazoa; Chordata; Mammalia; Carnivora; Otariidae.